GAGCCUUUCCAGUCAUGUUUGGCUGUCUACUCAGCCUCCAGGCUUCUGUGGUCUUGGGCGGUGGGAUCCCGCGUGUUGUUUUCCCGGUGGCCCGGCCGUGUCUGAGGCU
RNAcentral lists this microRNA precursor (109 nucleotides) under Erinaceus europaeus (western European hedgehog). Its description in RNAcentral is "miRNA (ENSEEUG00000019559.1)". The record is from RNAcentral. Lineage: Eukaryota; Metazoa; Chordata; Mammalia; Eulipotyphla; Erinaceidae.